Non-coding RNA from Chelonoidis abingdonii (Abingdon island giant tortoise), 337 nucleotides. The record is from RefSeq and is a predicted model, not a curated record. Lineage: Eukaryota; Metazoa; Chordata; Testudines; Testudinidae.
AGUGGUUUCAACGCACAGUACCGGGAACGCUGCACAAGAGGAAGUGAAGAAUAACAUAGUUCAGAGAGAAGGUAAAUACCCAACAAGGGAUUCAACUAUGGCUCCAGCUUUUGUGAAGAGUGUAAUAAAAUCAAGGCAAACAGCUCUGUGUUUUCUGUCUCUCCUGAGAGACAGCAGCUCUGACACAGGGAAGAACACCCUGACAGAGCCUCCAACUCCCCUUUUGUGUGAUACCCUCCCUUCUCCUUGGAGGUUUCCUAGCCAAGCACUGACCAGGCCCAAUGGUGCUUUGCACGCCAUUGCGAUUGCAGCCACAGGUGGCACAGCUGCACAAAGC